CCUACGGGUGGCAGCAGUGGGGAAUAUUGGACAAUGGGGGCAACCCUGAUCCAGCCAUGCCGCGUGUGUGAAGAAGGCCCUCGGGUUGUAAAGCACUUUCAGUGAGGAAGAACGCCUGGUGGUUAAUACCCAGCAGGAAAGACAUCACUCACAGAAGAAGCACCGGCUAACUCCGUGCCAGCAGCCGCGGUAAUACGGAGGGUGCGAGCGUUAAUCGGAAUUACUGGGCGUAAAGCGCGCGUAGGUGGCUUGAUAAGCCGGUUGUGAAAGCCCCGGGCUCAACCUGGGAACGGCAUCCGGAACUGUCAAGCUAGAGUGCAGGAGAGGAAGGUAGAAUUCCCGGUGUAGCGGUGAAAUGCGUAGAGAUCGGGAGGAAUACCAGUGGCGAAGGCGGCCUUCUGGACUGACACUGACACUGAGGUGCGAAAGCGUGGGUAGCAAACAGGAUUAGAUACCCGGGUAGUC
Molecule: ribosomal RNA, 465 nt
Filed under: Vreelandella stevensii
Lineage: Bacteria; Pseudomonadati; Pseudomonadota; Gammaproteobacteria; Oceanospirillales; Halomonadaceae
Description: partial 16S ribosomal RNA
Rfam family: Bacterial small subunit ribosomal RNA
Source: RNAcentral